AGACGGGGCCCGCACAAGCGGUGGAGCAUGUGGUUAAUUCGACGCAACGCGAAGAACCUUACCUGGGUUUGACAUCCCGAUCGUACUCUAUGGAAACAUAGGGGCCAGUUCGGCUGGAUCGGUGACAGGUGCUGCAUGGCUGUCGUCAGCUCGUGUCGUGAGAUGUUGGGUUAAGUCCCGCAACGAGCGCAACCCUUACGGUUAGUUGCCAGCGGUUAAAGCCGGGCACUCUAGCUGAACUGCCGUUGACAAAACGGAGGAAGGUGGGAUGACGUCAAAUCAUCAUGCCCUUUAUAUCCUGGGCUACACACGUGCUACAAUGGCCUGUACAAAGGGCAGCGACACAGCGAUGUGAAGCGAAUCCCGAAAAGCCGGUCUCAGUCCGGAUUGGAGUCUGCAACUCGACUCCAUGAAGUUGGAAUCGCUAGUAAUCGCGGAUCAGCACGCCCGCGGUCCGAAUACGUUCCGGCCUU
RNAcentral lists this ribosomal RNA (473 nucleotides) under uncultured Desulfuromusa sp. Its description in RNAcentral is "bacterial SSU rRNA". It matches the Rfam family "Bacterial small subunit ribosomal RNA", at positions 916 to 1381 of the family's 1533-position model. The record is from RNAcentral. Lineage: Bacteria; Pseudomonadati; Thermodesulfobacteriota; Desulfuromonadia; Desulfuromonadales; Geopsychrobacteraceae.